RNAcentral lists this ribosomal RNA (335 nucleotides) under uncultured bacterium. RNAcentral describes it as "bacterial SSU rRNA". It matches the Rfam family "Bacterial small subunit ribosomal RNA", at positions 568 to 899 of the family's 1533-position model. The record is from RNAcentral.
CAUGUAGGCGGUCUGCUAAGUUCGGAGUGACAGUCACCAGCUUAACUGGUGAAGUGCUUUGAAAACUGGCUGACUUGAGAGCGAGAGAGGGACAUGGAAUUCCGGGUGGAGUGGUGAAAUGCGUAGAGAUCCGGAGGAACACCAAAGGCGAAGGCAGUGUCCUGGCUCGUUUCUGACGCUGAGGUGCGAAAGCCAGGGGAGCGAACGGGAUUAGAUACCCCGGUAGUCCUGGCCGUAAACGAUGACCACCAGGCGUGGGAGGGAUCGACCCCUUCUGUGCCGUAGUCAACACAUUAAGUGGUCCGCCGUGGGGAGUACGGUCGCAAGAACUAAAA